GCCGGUGUGGCGGAAUUGGCAGACGCGCGGGACUCAAAAUCCCGUGUCUUUACGACGUGUCGGUUCGAUCCCGACCACCGGUA
RNAcentral lists this transfer RNA (83 nucleotides) under Staphylococcus canis. RNAcentral describes it as "tRNA-Leu". It matches the Rfam family "tRNA". Rfam says of the family: Transfer RNA (tRNA) molecules are approximately 80 nucleotides in length. Their secondary structure includes four short double-helical elements and three loops (D, anti-codon, and T loops). Further hydrogen bonds mediate the characteristic L-shaped molecular structure. tRNAs have two regions of fundamental functional importance: the anti-codon, which is responsible for specific mRNA codon recognition, and the 3' end, to which the tRNAs corresponding amino acid is attached (by aminoacyl-tRNA synthetases). tRNAs cope with the degeneracy of the genetic code in two manners: having more than one tRNA (with a specific anti-codon) for a particular amino acid; and 'wobble' base-pairing, i.e. permitting non-standard base-pairing at the 3rd anti-codon position. The record is from RNAcentral. Lineage: Bacteria; Bacillati; Bacillota; Bacilli; Caryophanales; Staphylococcaceae.